GAUAUCCUACUUCAGAAGACAAAGAGGAGGCCACAUCAAGAGCCAUUCCCUGGAGUCACCCUGACUGUCCUUCGGUGAGAGAACUAAGUUCCAGAGGCAGAAACACACCUCUGGGUAGGUUUUCAUCUGAUGUUGUUGAACCCAGUAAAAGAUGAUGACAACUUGAAACAGAAAUGAAACUUUCUUGAAGUCACGGCCACUCCACCUCCACCCACGCAGCUGGAGUUUCCUGCUAACGUGAUGCUGGGGCAUCUAGAGGUCCUGGCCAACUGACAAAACAAUUUGCUCAUGAUGGUGGCUCCAUGACAAAGCGGAAAUCUCUUAUGGACUGCUGGGGCAGCAAAAAGCGUCCAAAGAACACAGCUUUGUGUUAUCGUAGCCGCAGGGAACAGUGGGAGUAGGAAUACCUUUAUUUUCCACUGUGAAUGCUCCAAAGAUGACAAACUCGGUGGGAAAUCCCAGUCCUAUAGAUACAUAUGUUUCUACUAUAAUCCUUUUCAGUCCUAAUCAAGGCCUACAUUAUCCAUGAGCUUAGCCACCUUGGAAAAGAAGAAAAACAAAACCCAGGUUGCAAAACCCUACACACAACUUGCUCUGGACAGCACUUCUCAGCGCUCUUGGGGAGAUAGGAAGCUUCGGAAAUGUUUGCACAAGCAGCCACAGGGCCGAGAGCUAGCAGGAAGCUCAGUGUUUCGGGGGUUGUUUUUUCCGUAGCUUAGUAGAGUUCAUUCUGAUUACCCUUUGGUCUGACGCAGGGUAAAGCCGUGAGGUCUGUGAAGUCAAUCCUUUUUAGAAGUUGAAGAUAAAGGACCCAGCGUACUGAUACACCUGAGUGUUUUCUGAUCUCUCCUGAAAUAAAAUCCAGAGGCAAAAAAAU
Molecule: RNA transcript, 877 nt
Organism: Sus scrofa (pig)
Lineage: Eukaryota; Metazoa; Chordata; Mammalia; Artiodactyla; Suidae
Source: RefSeq, a predicted model, not a curated record